AACGAACGCUGGCGGCAUGCCUAACACAUGCAAGUCGAACGAGACCUUCGGGUCUAGUGGCGCACGGGUGCGUAACGCGUGGGAACCUGCCCUUAGGUUCGGAAUAACUCCCCGAAAGGGGUGCUAAUACCGGAUAAUGUCUUCGGACCAAAGAUUUAUCGCCUUUGGAUGGGCCCGCGUUGGAUUAGCUAGUUGGUAGGGUAAAAGCCUACCAAGGCGACGAUCCAUAGCUGGUCUGAGAGGAUGAUCAGCCACACUGGGACUGAGACACGGCCCAGACUCCUACGGAAGGCAGCAGUGGGGAAUAUUGGACAAUGGGCGAAAGCCUGAUCCAGCAAUGCCGCGUGAGUGAUGAAGGCCCUAGGGUUGUAAAGCUCUUUUACCCGGGAUGAUAAUGACAGUACCGGGAGAAUAAGCUCCGGCUAACUCCGUG
This 433-nucleotide ribosomal RNA is filed under the name uncultured bacterium. RNAcentral describes it as "partial 16S ribosomal RNA". It matches the Rfam family "Bacterial small subunit ribosomal RNA", at positions 29 to 507 of the family's 1533-position model. The record is from RNAcentral.